GAUGAAGAACGUAGCGAAAUGCGAUAAGUAAUGUGAAUUGCAGAAUUCAGUGAAUCAUCGAAUCUUUGAACGCAUCUUGCGCUCCUUGGUAUUCUGAGGAGCAUGCCUGUUUGAGUGUCAUUAAAUUCUCAACUACACUGACUUUGAAUUGGUGUGGCUUGGAUUUGGGGGGAAAAUUGUUGUGGGCUUUUUGUAUAGUCUGCUCCCCUGAAAUUGAUUAGCGGUACCUUUGUGGAACUGUCUACAGGUGUGAUAAUUAUCUACAUCUUAGACAUCUGCUGGAAUGCUGCUUUCUAAGCCUUACUUGUAUUGACAAUCUUGACCUCAAAUCAGGUAGGACUACCCGCUGAACUUAAGCAUAUCAAUAAGCGGAGGA
RNAcentral lists this unclassified non-coding RNA (376 nucleotides) under soil metagenome. RNAcentral describes it as "partial contains 5.8S ribosomal RNA, internal transcribed spacer 2, and large subunit ribosomal RNA". The stretch from base 1 to 120 matches the Rfam family "5.8S ribosomal RNA", at positions 35 to 154 of the family's 154-position model. The record is from RNAcentral.